GCCUGGCUGGCUCAGUCGGUUAAGCAUCUGACUUCGACUCAGGUCAUGAUCUCACAGUUCAUGGGUUCAAGCCCCGAAUCGGGCU
RNAcentral lists this transfer RNA (85 nucleotides) under Felis catus (domestic cat). It matches the Rfam family "tRNA". From Rfam's summary of the family: Transfer RNA (tRNA) molecules are approximately 80 nucleotides in length. The record is from Rfam by way of RNAcentral. Lineage: Eukaryota; Metazoa; Chordata; Mammalia; Carnivora; Felidae.